GACGAACGCUGGCGGCGUGCUUAACACAUGCAAGUCGAACGGAAAGGCCCUGCUUUUGUGGGGUGCUCGAGUGGCGAACGGGUGAGUAACACGUGAGUAACCUGCCCUUGACUUUGGGAUAACUUCAGGAAACUGGGGCUAAUACCGGAUAGGAGCUCCUGCUGCAUGGUGGGGGUUGGAAAGUUUCGGCGGUUGGGGAUGGACUCGCGGCUUAUCAGCUUGUUGGUGGGGUAGUGGCUUACCAAGGCUUUGACGGGUAGCCGGCCUGAGAGGGUGACCGGCCACAUUGGGACUGAGAGACGGCCCAGACUCCUACGGGAGGCAGCGGUGGGGAAUAUUGCACAAUGGGCGGAAGCCUGAUGCAGCAACGCCGCGUGCGGGAUGACGGCCUUCGGGUUGUAAACCGCUUUCGCCUGUGACGAAGCGUGAGUGACGGUAAUGGGUAAAGAAGCACCGGCUAACUACGUG
RNAcentral lists this ribosomal RNA (468 nucleotides) under uncultured bacterium. RNAcentral's name for it is "partial 16S ribosomal RNA". It matches the Rfam family "Bacterial small subunit ribosomal RNA", at positions 28 to 507 of the family's 1533-position model. The record is from RNAcentral.